RNAcentral lists this ribosomal RNA (465 nucleotides) under uncultured Actinomycetes bacterium. RNAcentral's name for it is "bacterial SSU rRNA". It matches the Rfam family "Bacterial small subunit ribosomal RNA", at positions 953 to 1421 of the family's 1533-position model. Lineage: Bacteria; Bacillati; Actinomycetota; Actinomycetes. The record is from RNAcentral.
GACGCAACGCGAAGAGCCUUACCAAGGCUUGACAUAUACAGGAAUAUGGCAGAAAUGUCAUAGCCGCAAGGUCUGUAUACAGGUGGUGCAUGGUUGUCGUCAGCUCGUGUCGUGAGAUGUUGGGUUAAGUCCCGCAACGAGCGCAACCCUCGUUCUGUGUUGCCAGCAUUUAGUUGGGGACUCACAGGAGACUGCCGGGGUUAACUCGGAGGAAGGUGGGGAUGACGUCAAAUCAUCAUGCCCCUUAUGUCUUGGGCUGCACGCAUGCUACAAUGGCUGGUACAAACGGCUGCGAUACCGCAAGGUGGAGCGAAUCCGAUAAAGCCAGUCUCAGUUCGGAUUGGGGUCUGCAACUCGACCCCAUCAAGUCGGAGUUGCUAGUAAUCGUAGAUCAGCAACGCUACGGUGAAUACGUUCCCGGGGCUUGUACACACCGCCCGUCACGUCACGAAAGUCGGUAACACC